AAAAAGUUGUUUCGGGCGGCCCCAGGCAUCGCCAGGUGGCCGCUUAGACAUCAACACCCUCUGUAUAUCUACCGCGUUGCUUUGGCGGGACGGCAGCCCAGCAGCCUGCUGGGAAGUGUCCGUAGGGCCUCUCCAAGGCCCCGUGAGCGCCCGCCAGAGAACCGUCAAGCUCAUGUUAAACCGUGGUGUCGAGCUUUACAAGCAAUAAAGUUA
RNAcentral lists this unclassified non-coding RNA (213 nucleotides) under soil metagenome. RNAcentral describes it as "partial internal transcribed spacer 1". The record is from RNAcentral.